GUGCUUGCUUCUGCACCAUAUGUGCUAAAAUUGGAAUGACACAGAGAUUAGCAUGGCCCCUAUGCAAGGAUGACACACAAAUUUGGGAUGCAUUUCAUAUUUUG
RNAcentral lists this small nuclear RNA (104 nucleotides) under Microcebus murinus (gray mouse lemur). The record is from RNAcentral. Lineage: Eukaryota; Metazoa; Chordata; Mammalia; Primates; Cheirogaleidae.